This 76-nucleotide transfer RNA is filed under the name Fimbriiglobus ruber. RNAcentral's name for it is "tRNA-Ala". It matches the Rfam family "tRNA". From Rfam's summary of the family: Transfer RNA (tRNA) molecules are approximately 80 nucleotides in length. Their secondary structure includes four short double-helical elements and three loops (D, anti-codon, and T loops). Further hydrogen bonds mediate the characteristic L-shaped molecular structure. tRNAs have two regions of fundamental functional importance: the anti-codon, which is responsible for specific mRNA codon recognition, and the 3' end, to which the tRNAs corresponding amino acid is attached (by aminoacyl-tRNA synthetases). tRNAs cope with the degeneracy of the genetic code in two manners: having more than one tRNA (with a specific anti-codon) for a particular amino acid; and 'wobble' base-pairing, i.e. permitting non-standard base-pairing at the 3rd anti-codon position. The record is from RNAcentral. Lineage: Bacteria; Pseudomonadati; Planctomycetota; Planctomycetia; Gemmatales; Gemmataceae.
GGGGACGUAGCUCAGCUGGGAGAGCACCUGCUUUGCAAGCAGGGGGUCAGGGGUUCGAUCCCCCUCGUCUCCACAA